RNAcentral lists this ribosomal RNA (333 nucleotides) under uncultured bacterium. Its description in RNAcentral is "bacterial SSU rRNA". It matches the Rfam family "Bacterial small subunit ribosomal RNA", at positions 28 to 363 of the family's 1533-position model. The record is from RNAcentral.
AGCGAACGCUGGCGGCAUGCUUAACACAUGCAAGUCGAACGGGCGGAUCUUCGGGUUCGUCAGUGGCGGACGGGUGAGUAUCGCGUAGGGAUUUGUCGUUGGGUGGGGGACAACCUUGGGAAACCGGGGCUAAUACCGCAUGACGCCCUCUUGUGGGGCCAAAGCCUCUGGGUGCGAGCCUGGGGGUGCCUGACGAGGAGCCUGCGUCCGAUUAGCUAGUUGGUGGGGUCAUGGCCACCAAGGCUGCGAUCGGUAGCUGGUCUGAGAGGAUGAUCAGCCACACUGGGACUGAGAGACGGCCCAGACUCCUACGGGAGGCAGCAGUGGGGAAUC